RNAcentral lists this ribosomal RNA (1936 nucleotides) under Laccaria amethystina. Its description in RNAcentral is "small subunit ribosomal RNA". It matches the Rfam family "Bacterial small subunit ribosomal RNA". Lineage: Eukaryota; Fungi; Basidiomycota; Agaricomycetes; Agaricales; Hydnangiaceae. The record is from RNAcentral.
AACGGUAUGAAUUUAAUUUUGGUUCUGAUUGAACGUUUUUCAGUAGUUUUAAGACAUGCAAAUCGUUGUUCAUAAUAAUUUACAAUUUUAUUUAUAAAUUAAAAAAAAUUAAUAAAAUAAUCAAAUAAAAAGAACAAGGUGUAAAGGUGAGUAAUGGUAAAUUAGAUACCUAAUAGACUCCUUAAAUAGGGGAUAGUUUUACCUUUUUUUUUUAAUGGGUAAAGCAUAAUUUAGCUAAUUAUAAUAAAGGAAAUUUUCCGCUAUAAGAGUUGAUUUAUUUUGUUUAAUGGUAGUUGGUAGGGUAAAAGCCUACCAAGCCUACGAUCAAUAGCCACGUUUGAAAGAGCAAAUGGCCACAUUGGGAAUGAAAAGCCCCAAAUUGCAUAGCAAUCUGCAGUCAAGAAUAUUAGUCAAUGCUCGCAAGAGUGAACUAGCUAACUGAAAUCACAAAAUCAUUUAAUUGUAAUGGUAUUUGUGAUAACGUAAGGGAAAAAAAUGAUAUUACCUUACUAUGAGUGUUGUCCAAAUAACUGGUGCCAGAAGACUCGGUAACACCAGAAACGCAAACGUUAGUCGUCUUAAUAAGGCGUAAAGGGUGUGUAGGCUGCUUUGAAAGUUCAACAUUUAAAAUAGCUCUGUCUAUAUUAACAAUAUUUAGUUUAUUUUAUUUUUAUUAAUUUAAGAAAAAAUAAAUUUAUAUAUAUUUGUUAAAUACAGUAAAUAUUGGAUUAAUUAAAGCUAGAAUCUUAUAGAGGAUAAACCGAAUAAUGCUUAGAGAAGGGCUGAUAUUCUAAAAUACUAAGCGGAAUACUAAAGGUGAAAGCUUUUUAUCUACUAAAGAUUGACGCUGAGAAACGAAGGUGAGAAUAGGAAAUAGGAUUAGAUACCCAGGUACCUCUCACUGUCAACGAUGAAUGGUAGUUUGUUAGUUUAUUAGAAACUGGUAACGAUGUUAACGCGAUAACCAUUCCGCCUUGAGAGUACGGUUGCAAAACUGAAACCAAAAAAAUUAGUCGGUCUCGAAGCAAACGAAGUGAAGCAUGUUAUUUAAUACGAGAGUACGCGUAAAAUCUUACCAGUUCUUGUAUAUCCAAUAUUUUUUUGAGUAAAAUUUAUUUUAAUAUAUAGCAUCUAUUGCUUGCUUUGCUUUAAUAAAAUAAAUGCUAAGCUUUACUAGUAAUAAGUGCUAUGGCCUAUUCUUAUUUUAUUAAUAUUAGUAGCCUUAAUUUAAAUAACUCAAUAAAAUGAUUGAGUAAUUAUUAAUAUUAAAAAUAUUGGUAAUUCGUUUACAGGUGUUGCAUGGCUGUCGUCAGUCCGUGUUGUGAAAAGUUAGGUUAACUCCACUAACGGACGCAAUCCCUGUUGUUAAUUUAUACUUAACAAAUUUGUGAUUAUUAAAUAUUUUCAUUUGGGACUAAGACAAGUCGUUAUGGCCCUCAUGAACUGGGCUAUAGACGUGCCACAAAAACUUUUACAAAGUGACGCUAAAAAAUAAACUCGGUUACUAUAUUAAUUUUUUAAUUUUAUUUUAAUUUAAAUAUAAGAGUUUUAACAAAUAGCUAAUCAUUAAAGAAAGUUAAAUAAUUAAUUUUAUUAGACGAAUUGUCACCUGAAAUUCGGUGACAUGAAGAAGGAAUUUCGAGUAAUCGUUGAUCACAAGCGCAACGGUGAAGAUUGAAUUCGUGAUGAACUAACUGUCUGUCGCUGGGGAGAAGCUCGGAACGGGGGAAACUGCCACGAUGUUAAUACUUGAAUAAAGUUUAGUUUUGUUUUAUUUAAUUACUUAUUUUAUACUUUGAAAUAAAAAAUGAAUUAAUAAAUUUUAAAUUUUAACUCCUUUAUUAAGUUAAAUAGUAUCAGUUAACCCUUUUGAGUAACAUCUCAAAAGUCAUAGCAAGGUAGCUGUACUGGAAAGUGCUGCUGGAAAAUAAUUAAU